CCUACGGGAGGCAGCAGUGGGGAAUUUUGGACAAUGGGCGCAAGCCUGAUCCAGCCAUGCCGCGUGCGGGAAGAAGGCCUUCGGGUUGUAAACCGCUUUUGUCAGGGAAGAAACGGUCUGGGUUAAUACCCUGGGCUAAUGACGGUACCUGAAGAAUAAGCACCGGCUAACUACGUGCCAGCAGCCGCGGUAAUACGUAGGGUGCAAGCGUUAAUCGGAAUUACUGGGCGUAAAGCGUGCGCAGGCGGUUGUGCAAGACAGAUGUGAAAUCCCCGGGCUCAACCUGGGAACUGCAUUUGUGACUGCACAGCUAGAGUACGGUAGAGGGGGAUGGAAUUCCGCGUGUAGCAGUGAAAUGCGUAGAUAUGCGGAGGAACACCGAUGGCGAAGGCAAUCCCCUGGACCUGUACUGACGCUCAUGCACGAAAGCGUGGGGAGCAAACAGGAUUAGAUACCCUGGUAGUCCACGCCCUAAACGAUGUCAACUGGUUGUUGGGAAGGUUCCUUCUCAGUAACGAAGCUAACGCGUGAAGUUGACCGCCUGGGGAGGACGGCGCGAGUAGUUAACGUUACGAAAGAAGUUAGUAGGCGNGAGAGNGCGACGGACGACGACGAGGGAGGAGG
This 624-nucleotide ribosomal RNA is filed under the name uncultured bacterium. RNAcentral describes it as "bacterial SSU rRNA". The stretch from base 1 to 542 matches the Rfam family "Bacterial small subunit ribosomal RNA", at positions 338 to 873 of the family's 1533-position model. The record is from RNAcentral.